RNAcentral lists this ribosomal RNA (440 nucleotides) under uncultured bacterium. Its description in RNAcentral is "partial 16S ribosomal RNA". It matches the Rfam family "Bacterial small subunit ribosomal RNA", at positions 338 to 795 of the family's 1533-position model. The record is from RNAcentral.
CCUACGGGAGGCAGCAGUGGGGGAUAUUGCACAAUGGGGGGAACCCUGAUGCAGCGACGCCGCGUGGGUGAAGAAGCGCCUCGGCGCGUAAAGCCCUGUCAGCAGGGAAGAAAAUGACGGUACCUGAAGAAGAAGCCCCGGCUAACUACGUGCCAGCAGCCGCGGUAAUACGUAGGGGGCAAGCGUUAUCCGGAUUUACUGGGUGGAAAGGGGGCGCAGACGGCGAUGCAAGCCAGGCGUGAAAGCCCGGGGCCCAACCCCGGGACUGCUCUUGAAACUGCGUGGCUGGAGUGCAGGAGGGGCAGGCGGAAUUCCUGGUGUAGCGGUGAAAUGCGUAGAUAGCAGGAGGAACACCGGUGGCGAAGGCGGCCUGCUGGACUGCAACUGACGUUGAGGCCCGAAAGCGUGGGGAGCAAACAGGAUUAGAUACCCCAGUAGUC